GACGAACGCUGGCGGCGUGCUUAACACAUGCCAGUCGAACGGAAAGGCCCUGCUUUUGUGGGGUGCUCGAGUGGCGAACGGGUGAGUAACACGUGAGUAACCUGCCCUUGACUUUGGGAUAACUUCAGGAAACUGGGGCUAAUACCGGAUAGGAGCUCCUGCUGCAUGGUGGGGGUUGGAAAGUUUCGGCGGUUGGGGAUGGACUCGCGGCUUAUCAGCUUGUUGGUGGGGUAGUGGCUUACCAAGGCUUUGACGGGUAGCCGGCCUGAGAGGGUGACCGGCCACAUUGGGACUGAGAUACGGCCCAGACUCCUACGGGAGGCAGCAGUGGGGAAUAUUGCACAAUGGACGGAAGCCUGAUGCAGCAACGCCGCGUGCGGGAUGACGGCCUUCGGGUUGUAAACCGCUUUCGCCUGUGACGAAGCGUGAGUGACGGUAAUGGGUAAAGAAGCACCGGCUAACUACGUG
RNAcentral lists this ribosomal RNA (468 nucleotides) under uncultured bacterium. Its description in RNAcentral is "partial 16S ribosomal RNA". It matches the Rfam family "Bacterial small subunit ribosomal RNA", at positions 28 to 507 of the family's 1533-position model. The record is from RNAcentral.